RNAcentral lists this transfer RNA (81 nucleotides) under bovine gut metagenome. It matches the Rfam family "tRNA". From Rfam's summary of the family: Transfer RNA (tRNA) molecules are approximately 80 nucleotides in length. Their secondary structure includes four short double-helical elements and three loops (D, anti-codon, and T loops). The record is from RNAcentral.
GGUAGGUGGCCGAGUGGUUAAAGGCGGCAGACUGUAAAUCUGUUCUCGAAAGGGUACGAUGGUUCGAAUCCAUCCCUGCCC